AUACGGAGGGUGCAAGCGUUACUCGGAAUCACUGGGCGUAAAGCGCGCGCAGGCGGCUACUUAAGUUGGAUGUGAAAGCCUACGGCUCAACCGUAGAACUGCAUCCAAAACUAUUUAGCUAGAGUGUGGGAGAGGAAGAUGGAAUUAGUUGUGUAGGGGUAAAAUCCGUAGAGAUAACUAGGAAUACCAAAAGCGAAGGCAAUCUUCUGGAACACUACUGACGCUGAGGCGCGAAAGCGUGGGGAGCAAACAGGAUUAGAAACCCCAGUAGUCC
This 274-nucleotide ribosomal RNA is filed under the name uncultured bacterium. RNAcentral describes it as "partial 16S ribosomal RNA". It matches the Rfam family "Bacterial small subunit ribosomal RNA", at positions 523 to 796 of the family's 1533-position model. The record is from RNAcentral.